RNAcentral lists this ribosomal RNA (253 nucleotides) under uncultured bacterium. RNAcentral's name for it is "partial 16S ribosomal RNA". It matches the Rfam family "Bacterial small subunit ribosomal RNA", at positions 524 to 776 of the family's 1533-position model. The record is from RNAcentral.
UACGUAGGGUGCAAGCGUUGUCCGGAAUUAUUGGGCGUAAAGAGCUUGUAGGCGGUUUGUCGCGUCUGCUGUGAAAUUUCGGGGCUCAACCCCGAACUUGCAGUGGGUACGGGCAGACUAGAGUGUGGUAGGGGAGACUGGAAUUCCUGGUGUAGCGGUGAAAUGCGUAGAUAUCAAGAGGAACACCUGAGGUGAAGACGGGUUGCUGGGCUGACACUGACGCUGAGGCGCGAAAGCCAGGGGAGCAAACGGG